Molecule: ribosomal RNA, 791 nt
Filed under: uncultured Verrucomicrobiota bacterium
Lineage: Bacteria; Pseudomonadati; Verrucomicrobiota
Description: bacterial SSU rRNA
Rfam family: Bacterial small subunit ribosomal RNA
Source: RNAcentral
GUCGAACGAGAACUUUCGUUGUAGCAAUACAAUGGAAGUUCUAGUGGCGAACGGGUGCGUAACACGUGGGCAAUCUGCCUUAAAGUGGGGGAUAGCUCGGCGAAAGCCGGAUUAAUACCGCAUGUGAUUACCGGAGACAUCUUCGGAACAUCAAAGUCGGGGCAACCUGACGCUUUUUGAGGAGCCCGCGGCCUAUCAGCUUGUUGGUGAGGUAACGGCUCACCAAGGCUUUGACGGGUAGCUGGUCUGAGAGGACGACCAGUCACACUGGAACUGAGACACGGUCCAGACACCUACGGGUGGCAGCAGUCGAGAAUUUUUCUCAAUGGGGAAAACCCUGAAGGAGCGACGCCGCGUGGAGGAUGAAGGUCUUCGGGUUGUAAACUCCUGUCAUUUGGGAACAAUGCUGACGUAUUAACUGUACGUUAGUUGAUAGUACCAGAAGAGGAAGAGACGGCUAACUCUGUGCCAGCAGCCGCGGUAAUACAGAGGUCUCAAGCGUUGUUCGGAUUCAUUGGGCGUAAAGGGUGCGUAGGUGGCGCGCUAAGUCGGGUGUGAAAUUUCGGAGCUUAACUCCGAAACUGCAUUCGAUACUGGCGUGCUUGAGGACUGGAGAGGAGACUGGAAUUCAUGGUGUAGCAGUGAAAUGCGUAGAGAUCAUGAGGAAGACCAGUGGCGAAGGCGGGUCUCUGGACAGUUCCUGGCACUGAGACACGAAGGCCAGGGGAGCAAACGGGAUUAGAUACCCCGGUAGUCCUGGCAGUAAACGGUGCACGUUUGGUGUGGGAGGA